UGGGGAAUAUUGGACAAUGGGCGCAAGCCUGAUCCAGCCAUGCCGCGUGAGUGAUGAAGGCCUUAGGGUUGUAAAGCUCUUUCGCCGACGAAGAUAAUGACGGUAGUCGGAGAAGAAGCCCCGGCUAACUUCGUGCCAGCAGCCGCGGUAAUACGAAGGGGGCUAGCGUUGUUCGGAAUCACUGGGCGUAAAGCGCACGUAGGCGGAUUGUUAAGUCAGGGGUGAAAGCCUGGAGCUCAACUCCAGAACUGCCCAUGAUACUGGCAAUCUCGAGUCCGGAAGAGGUAAGUGGAACUGCGAGUGUAGAGGUGAAAUUCGUAGAUAUUCGCAAGAACACCAGUGGCGAAGGCGGCUUACUGGUCCGGUACUGACGCUGAGGUGCGAAAAGCGUGGGGAGCAAAACAGGAUUAGAUACCCUGGUAGUCCACGCCGUAAAACGAUGGAGGCUAGCCGUUGGCGAGCAUGCUCGUCAGUGGCGCAGCUAACGCAUUAAGCCUCCCGCCUGGGGAGUACGGUCGCAAGAUUAAAAACUC
This 533-nucleotide ribosomal RNA is filed under the name uncultured bacterium. Its description in RNAcentral is "partial 16S ribosomal RNA". It matches the Rfam family "Bacterial small subunit ribosomal RNA", at positions 355 to 902 of the family's 1533-position model. The record is from RNAcentral.